GGCAUCUGCUCACUAUAAAAAGAAGACAGGAGCUUUCUAAGGAAAAAUCUGUGGACGCUGCUCCAACUAGGCGCUGUGUCAACAUCCCCCGUGACCGAAGCUGCAUGUGGGCCAGGCCUGGGCUGUGCCUGGGGAAGGGUGUGUCCAGUGCUGCCCCCGCCAACAGUGCAGGGCCCUCAUCCACACAAGGAAAGACGGGACAAACCC
This 207-nucleotide long non-coding RNA is filed under the name Homo sapiens (human). RNAcentral describes it as "non-protein coding lnc-VENTX-1:1". The record is from RNAcentral. Lineage: Eukaryota; Metazoa; Chordata; Mammalia; Primates; Hominidae.